GACGAACGCUGGCGGCGUGCCUAAUACAUGCAAGUAGAACGCACAGUUUAUACCGUAGCUUGCUACACCAUAGACUGUGAGUUGCGAACGGGUGAGUAACGCGUAGGUAACCUGCCUGGUAGCGGGGGAUAACUAUUGGAAACGAUAGCUAAUACCGCAUAAUAUUGAUUAUUGCAUGAUAAUUGAUUGAAAGAUGCUAUUGCAUCACUACCAGAUGGACCUGCGUUGUAUUAGCUAGUAGGUGAGGUAACGGCUCGCCUAGGCGACGAUACAUAGCCGACCUGAGAGGGUGAUCGGCCACACUGGGACUGAGACACGGCCCAGACUCCUACGGGAGGCAGCAGUAGGGAAUCUUCGGCAAUGGACGAAAGUCUGACCGAGCAACGCCGCGUGAGUGAAGAAGGUUUUCGGAUCGUAAAGCUCUGUUGUAAGAGAAGAACGGGUGUGAGAGUGGAAAGUUCACACUGUGACGGUAUCUUACCAGAAAGGGACGGCUAACUACGUG
Molecule: ribosomal RNA, 505 nt
Filed under: uncultured bacterium
Lineage: Bacteria
Description: partial 16S ribosomal RNA
Rfam family: Bacterial small subunit ribosomal RNA
Source: RNAcentral